CCCCCCCCCAUAGAACCCAAACCCAUAAUCAUACCACCCAUACCACGCAGACUCAUAGGACCCCCUAUUAUUGCAUCAUCUCCCGAAACUGUUACUGAUGAUGUCCCUCUACACUUCAAUGAUUUUCCAAGACCCAGAGAUGUUACUUCCCCACUCCUCAUUCAGACUCUCAAAUUCCAAACCAUCUUGACAACAUGCGCUCAUGUCACUGCACGCACUUGUUUGACAACCACUGAUCCUAACGUUGCUACAUCGGUUUUAGCGGCUUGUCUCAUUCCAUCUCUCUAUCAAUGCGUGUAUCCCGAUUCAACUACACCUGGUGAGCCACCUCUUAUGCGGUAAAAUUAUUUUCGAAAUAUUUGCCAUAUUACUAAGAGAAGAAUAGCCGGGCUUGCCGGCUUGCUCAGCUCAGCCUAUAUAAUAAUCCUUUUUCUCUAGCUUGCUAGAGACUAAAGUCUUUAAUUAUAUUGCCUCUCCUGAAACAUUCCGAGUGAUAUAUGUCAACUAUAUAUGAUUGGCUUAACUUGGUAUAAUUUAUGAUGAAUGAUAUGUUAUACCUUCAAUAUUUCAAUUAGCAAUAAAUUCACUGUCAUGUUGUCUCUC
Glycine soja is the source of this 603-nucleotide long non-coding RNA. RefSeq lists it as uncharacterized. Lineage: Eukaryota; Viridiplantae; Streptophyta; Magnoliopsida; Fabales; Fabaceae. The record is from RefSeq and is a predicted model, not a curated record. The transcript is spliced from 2 exons.